GAUGAACGCUAGCUACAGGCUUAACACAUGCAAGUCGAGGGGCAGCAUGGUCUUAGCUUGCUAAGGCUGAUGGCGACCGGCGCACGGGUGAGUAACACGUAUCCAACCUGCCGUCUACUCUUGGCCAGCCUUCUGAAAGGAAGAUUAAUCCAGGAUGGGAUCAUGAGUUCACAUGUCCGCAUGAUUAAAGGUAUUUUCCGGUAGACGAUGGGGAUGCGUUCCAUUAGAUAGUAGGCGGGGUAACGGCCCACCAAGACGACGAUGGAUAGGGGUUCUGAGAGGAAGGUCCCCCACAUUGGAACUGAGACACGGUCCAA
This 317-nucleotide ribosomal RNA is filed under the name uncultured bacterium. Its description in RNAcentral is "bacterial SSU rRNA". It matches the Rfam family "Bacterial small subunit ribosomal RNA", at positions 28 to 334 of the family's 1533-position model. The record is from RNAcentral.